This 313-nucleotide ribosomal RNA is filed under the name uncultured fungus. RNAcentral describes it as "eukaryotic LSU rRNA". The stretch from base 1 to 144 matches the Rfam family "5.8S ribosomal RNA". The record is from RNAcentral. Lineage: Eukaryota; Fungi.
AACGGAUCUCUUGGUUCUGGCAUCGAUGAAGAACGCAGCGAAAUGCGAUAAGUAAUGUGAAUUGCAGAAUUCAGUGAAUCAUCGAAUCUUUGAACGCACAUUGCGCCCGCCAGUACUCUGGCGGGCAUGCCUGUUCGAGCGUCAUUACAUCCCUCAAGCCCCAGCGGCUUGGUGUUGGGCUUCGGCCGUCCUCAGCGGCGGCCGUGCCCCAAAUACAGUGGCGGUCUCGCCCCCGGCUCCUCUGCGUAGUAGUAACAUCUCGCACUGGGACGGAGCGAAGGCCACGCCGUAAAACAACCCAACUUUCUGAAUG